RNAcentral lists this long non-coding RNA (15011 nucleotides) under Coffea arabica (coffee). RNAcentral describes it as "long non-coding RNA (CARA_LNC004702)". Lineage: Eukaryota; Viridiplantae; Streptophyta; Magnoliopsida; Gentianales; Rubiaceae. The record is from RNAcentral.
AUCAUCAAGACCUGAAGCAGCCGCUAAUCAACCAUGGCUGCUACCAUCCUAGCCGAUGAUGAUGAUGAUGACAUAAACCCCUUCACAUCCAUAAUGCUGCUCGCCCCUACAUGCCAACCACCAAAACCAGAAUCAGAAGAAGACCACCAGAAUCAGAGCCCAUUAUCAUCAUCCAAAGCUGGAAUAACUAGUCAACAACUUCUUGACCAAAAUAACUACUACCUCCACUCUGUCAACUCCCACCUACUCAUCAGACAACUCCCUUCUCAAGGCCUCUCUUUUCAGCUCUGGCCUGCUGCAACCACUCUCGUCACCCUCCUUGAUACCCACUCCUCUCAAUCCACCAUCCCCAACCCACUUUCCACCUUAUUUAAAGCCCAAGAAGACCGUCCCCUCAACAUCCUGGAGCUGGGCUCUGGCACCGGUCUUGUUGGGAUUGCAGCUGCUGCUCUUCUCUCUGCUAAUGUCACUGUCACAGACCUCCCUCAUGUGCUAUGCAAUCUGCAUUUCAAUGUGGAGGCUAACUCCAAACUUCUUCAAGUCAACCAAGGUGCAAAAGUUAACAUAGCGGGGCUUUCCUGGGGAGUGGAUGAAGACAUGAAAGCUGUUGGGAAGGAGUAUGAUUUGAUACUGGGGUCUGAUGUAGUGUAUCAUGAUCACCUCUACAAGCCCUUGAUUAAGACCCUGAGGUUCUUCUUGUUGGGGAAUGAUGACGGCAGCAAGAAGAAAAGGGUUGCCUUUGUGAUGGCUCAUUUAAAGAGGUGGAAGAAGGAGUCUGCAUUUUUCAAGAUGGCUAGGAAGCUUUUCGAUGUUGACAUUAUACAUUCUGAUCCUCCUUCCCAUGGCGCUAGAGUUGGAGUAGUAGUGUACCGAAUGGUGGGGAAAUGUUUUCUCAGCGUCAAUUCUGUCCCUAGCUAAAUAUUUGAGCGAGGAAUUGAAGAGAACAUUCUUGAAAUUUUGAGAAAAUCUAGAAGUUUGUCAUGCAUCAAAAACUUUCCAGGGAAGAUUUUAAUAUCUUUGUUAAUGUAUUUUACUAAAUUGCAAUCACCAGGGUUUGAGUUCACUAACUUGUCCUUGAUCAAUUAGCGUCUCAGCAUAAACUUGAGCAGAAAUAAAACUUGCUUAACUAGAAUGUUGAAUGUUAUUAUUGUAAAACAAAUAGUUAGCACUUCUACCCGACCUCGUGACCAGAUCGUAUCAUGCCCUUAGCAAAACAAUGCACUCAAGAUUCAAAUACUGCAGUAUAACGCCAGAGAAUAUCGUUUUCCCAGGUACAAAUUUCUAUGAACAUUUGUCUGGCUAAAGCUUUCCAUGUUCUCUGAAUCCCAAGACGGAUGAAAGCGCACAAUUAAGACACCUAGAGGUUUGGAAGAGGAGCAGGAACAAUCAAUCGUUCUUGACAGUUCACGGUCAUGAUUUGGUCAAAAAAAUUUGUACGGUCCAGAUUUUAUCUUGUAUCUCAUUUUUAACAAUAUCUGUGGGACCUACAAAAAUUUAUUUUAGAAUUACACGUUGUUAAAAAUAAGUUACACGAUGUGCAAACAGAAUUACGCCGUGUACAAAAUGCACAUAACCUUCAGGAACGGUUGCUGUGAGGACUCGCAAAUUUCUUAUAUUUUUCUCAAAAAUGCCUUUUUAUUUAGAAAUUAUUCAUUUAUUAUAGCCCUACUACCUAAUCAUUCCCCAAUAAGUGCAAAUGAAUCUAGAAAGUAGGGUUUCACUUUUCGUUUUCAGUUGGAGCAAGUUAGGGUUUUCGCGAUUUUCCGAAGGAUGAUUUUUCGGUACGGAGCAAGGAUUCAAAUUUGGUGAUUAAGAGUGACUUUUAGGUGAGAAAUAAUAUGUGAUUAGGAACCAUGAUAAAAAGUUAGUGAUUGGGAAGAAAAAAUCCUAGUACGUGUGAUUUAAGAAAAAACGGUGCGAACCGACGUGUACCGCGCACUACCGAUUGAACGCACCACUGGACCACAACUUUCUUACCACGUGAGCUCAUUGAUAUUUGAGCAAAAUAACCCCUCAUUUCCAGCUGCCUUUGACCGAAAUUUGUGGCCACAAAUGCAAGGGAGAGAGAGAAAAAUUUGCAUGGCUUUGGUGGUGCCAAGUGUCACCACCUCAUGGCUCCUUGAUUAAUUUUUUUUUUCUUGCCUUUUUAUCCUUCAUUUCAGCCAUCUUUCUUCUUCAUUUUUUUCUGGUCUUGGCCGAGAGAGAGAGAGAGAGAAAACCCAAGAGAGAGUUCACCAUUUUUUCUUGAAAUCUAGUCACCAAGUGAGGAAACAAAGAAAGUAAACCGAUUAAAGUUAUCUUUGAGUGUUGGUUUAGUGAGGUGUUGGUGAAUUUUUGAAGGGGAAAGCUAGGGUUGCUCUUGGUAGACACUAAGCAAGGUAAGGAUGAUGAUUUUUCCAAUUCUUACUCUUAAUAUUGUUUAAAUUAGCUUAGUGGUGAAUAAUGGUUGUUAUCAUGUCUUGGGUGUUGUUUUUCCUUGUGGAUACAUGAAUUAGGGUUUGAUGAAUUGCUGCCAAACUUGAUGUAUGGUUAAUAUAUGUUGUAUCCAAGAUUGUAUAGGGGGCUUUGGUAGCAAGUGAAGCAAGAAAUGAAGAAAGUAACCAAAAAUUCCAGAUUUCUGGAAAAAAUUUCACCCUGUUCUGUCCGGUUCCAGUUUGUAUGGUUAGAGGCCGAAUUAGGCUUGUCAUAAAACAUGAAAGUUGUAGAGAAUAGUAUUUUAUAGUUGCCUACAAAAUUUCAGCUCAAUCAGAGCAACGUAGCCUGUGAAAAGACCAAAAUACCCUCGCUGCCCUAGAUUACAUUUCAGUGUUCCGCGUAGACAGUUCAGUCUUUUGGCUGUGUUUAUUCGCCAUAAUCCGUACGAAUUUAUCCAUUUUCCAAAACAUGAAAGUUUUAGUACUCUGUUUUAGCUUUUUAACGCCACCAAGAACACCUUAAACGGAUCUUGGUAGACUGAGAUAUGGCCAUUUGAAUGCAGUACGGUUAAAUAGCCGAUUAGUUGGAAUUAGGUUAUGUGAAUUGGGUAUUUGAUUAGGUUACACUGGAAAUUGGACUAAGUGAUCUUCAUGAACAUUGGAACCCUGUGUCUUAGCUUCGAAAGGGUACAAGUUGCACCUCAAUCCGAUAACUGUAGCCUCGGAUGUGCCCAUUCCGCAAGAGCCCGUCAAAACUGUCUUUUGUAAACUUCAUUUCCGCACUCGAUAUUAGCUUAAUUUUUGUUCUUGUCUUGUUUUGAGCCUACGGAAUGGCUAUUGAAAUAAAAUUGUGUUAUGGAUAACCUUGGAUUUGAUUGAGUAAGCAUGAAGCCAUAAAUGGCUGGAAAAUAGGAAAAUACAAAGGGCAUGCUGCCUAAAUUUUCGCUCGAGUACUAAGUUUCUAUUUGAACUGGUAUACUUACGUUUGGUCUAUGAAACCCUAGUCAUUUUUGUACACCGGUCCAAAUGUCCUCGUUUCACUUUAAAGUCUUUUUGUACGUUCUACUCAAUAAUUGUCGAGUUUCUUUGAUUGCACCUAAUUGUUGUGCUAGAUGAUCUGUAAUAUUCUUUCUCGUUUAAUUUAGGUUUUCUCGGUGACUGAGGAUAAUAUCCGGAAGGAUAUUUUACCCGUUGUUUUGCUUACAUAGGUGAGUGUUCCUUGUUUGCUAUAUUUUUCUUGACUUCAUGACUUGUGUUCUUGUUUGAUAAUGUGUUAAGUGCUUUCAAGGAUUUCCAAAACGAGUUUUCUAGGCGAACGUGUACUUUACCGCACUCGAGCAAAAUGAAACAUGAAAUUUUCAAUGAUUAAAUGUUGAAAUACUAGUUGCGCAUGAAUGUAAGCCUUUUUGGCUGAACUGGGCCCUUGCCCUUGUUGCCGAUCGACUCGAGCCAGAAGCGGACUCGGUCGGGCGAUUUGGUGACCUGGGUGAACGUUUGGUAUACUCGAGUAUUACCUUGUAGUCCGGCCACGUCCGGAUGGGUGGAGUCCGGUCAACGUCCGGAAGGGGAUGAAUGAACGAACGAAAGCACGAGGGUUUUACUUCCCAAAAAGGAAAUUUUCAAAUAAUUGGAGGAAUAAGGGAAAAUGUCAGGGGAACGAACGAACGAACGAAUAGUUCCAUGUGAGCUCGUAUCCUUUUAAUGAAUGUGUUACUAUCGCUUUCCAUUGUAAAAAUUUCUUGAAUUAUUGAUACUCCAUGUUUAACGUAUUGAAUUGACUAUCUGACUAUGUGUUCGGAACCUCACUGAGCUUUUAGCUCACCCCUUUAGUUUUGUUUUCCUUAACAGGGGACGGCGAGCAGGAUGAGAGCAUAGACUAGCCUAGUCUAGUUCUUUUGUUAUUCUUUGUAAUGGUUCUCGCCCUAGUGCUUGGCACGGGCUGGACGUAUGAAGGAUUGAGAACCUUUGUAUAUUCGAUCUUUAUACUCUCUUUUGGGAUGACAAUAUAUAUAAGUUCCGCUUUAAGUUUGGAUCGCUGCCCUAUUUAUUCUUGUGAUUUAUUCCGAUUUUAAUUGAGGACUGUAGUGAACGACUGAGUCCUGGCGAGAGCUGGGCAGGCGACCCGCCGAACCCUGGGGUACGCCCUAAGGGGAGGUGGGGCCGUCACAGUUGGUAUCAGAGCUUAGGUUUCAGAUCUCUGUAGUGUAUCCUAGGCUUGAAGUUUAGGAUGCCGGACUGUGGGAUUCGAUUUGACCUGAAAGUUAAGCGAUUGAGGGAGAAAACCUAUAGUUGCUUCGCGUGGUCUCUGCGCGGAGUGACCCUGGACUAAGUGGUGAAUAAGUAUGAGGGACUAAGUGAAGCUAUGAAUUGCGAAUGUUAUAGGCCUUAAAUAUUUCUCAUGGUAUCUGAGGACCAUAGAUAGGUAUGUCAGGCAGGAAUUCCGAUUGUAGAUUGUUUACUCUUGGGACUGCAGCUCCAGAUGUGAAUUAUCUUAUUUCGAAUUCUCGUGCCUGAGUACUCUAGAGUUGCGGCGCUGCUAAGGAUUUGAGACUUGCAUUUUGGGAACAUGAACAGGCUUUGUCUGACUAGAAUGAGCACAAGAGGUCAGGGACAUCUAGUUUGGAUAGUAAGUGACGUGAGAGACCGGACGGGCUGAUACUGGGACGACUUCACCUUUUCCUUUUGAUUUACCUGUAUAUUGUUACUACAUGACGUUAGUAUACCUGUGCGUACAUGGUUAUCUGUCCAACUUGAUAUGUAUUUGUGUAUUUGCUUAUCCGUCUUCUUGAUAUGGCGUGUUAUGUGCGUAUAUGUUUAUUUUUGUAUUUGGAAUGCUAGAAUUUGUUACUGUAGUCAAUUUACUGUGUUUAUUUACUUAAUUACCUUUUGGGGAAAAAGAAAAGAAAAGAGAGAGGGAAAACAUAUAUAUGGAUGGGAGGCGUAGUCGUGGACGUGGAGCUAGUCGUGGCCGUGGAGCUAGGCAAGCUCAAGAACCGAGAGAAGAAAGAGAAACAGUGGCCGAGCAAGAACAGGGACCGAGGGUUGAGGCUGGAGAUCAAAUGGCGACGGCGAUGAAACAAAUGACAAAUAUCCUGGCACGAAUGGUAGAUCAACAGGGUCAAAUGCCAGUGAAUCAACCCUGGAAUCCCGAGAUCGGAGAGGAUAAGGCUCUUGAGAGGUUCCAAAAGUUUCUACCUCCGAAAUUUCAAGGAGGGCCUGAUCCGGAUAUAGCUGAGCAGUAGUUGGAGGCAAUGAUUAAUAUCUUCGCGGCUUUGAAUUACACGGAGUAAAGAAAAGUAAAUUUUGCUGUAUUUCAAUUCGAAGGACCAGCCCGCGCGUGGUGGAAUGUAAUUAAGGCCAAGUGGGAAAGAGAACAGACGGUAUGGACAUGGGCGAACUUUGUAAGGGAAUUUAACGAAAAGUAUCUCCCACCUUUAGCCCAAGAAAGGAGAGAGGACGAAUUUAUUGGGUUGCGUCAGGGAACCCUAAGUGUGGCCGAAUAUGAGACCAAAUUUACUAGACUGUCUAAAUUCGCUUCUGAAUUGGUGGUUACAGAGCGACGGAGAAUAAGACGAUUUAUACAAGGACUAAAUUUGAAAAUCCAGGAGGCAUUACCGGCAGUUCAAGUUAAUACGUUUACAGAGGCUCUUGAGAAGGUCCAAAGAAUUGAGGAUGUGAAAGCCCAAGUAAAAGCCUUUCAAACGCGGAAAAGAGAUACAUCCAGCAGUAUACCUGAGGAAUCCAGAGAAAAGAUAACGCUCUCCAAAGUGCAAAAAGUUAACCAUUCACCCCGCCCACCUUGGACCUUAAGAGUAUUAGAUGAAAGGUCCAUGAAAGGAAGUCAGAUCGGAUCAAAGGACAUUUCUCGAGAAGAUCCAACAGUAGCUCCUCGAUUGGCCUGUGGAUACUGUGGAAAGGCAAAUCACACUGAGAAUGAUUGCUGGCGGAAAGGGGGAAAAUGUUUGAUUUGUGGGAGUAGCAAUCAUCAACUUAGCAAUUGCCCGAAGAAACAGCCACGAGAGGGUAGUACUCAACAAGUGGAAGGAACCAAACUGAAACAAAUUCAUGAAAGAGGAAACCGAACAAAAGUAUCAACACAAGUUUAUGCUGUAGAUCAGCACCGAGUUCUGGGGUCCUCCGAGGCGACGAAAGGUAUGAAUUACGAGGUCGAAAUUCUUUUAAGGGGGAGAGAGUGUGAGGACUCGCAAAUUUCUCAUAUGUUUCUCAAAAAUGCCUUUUUAUUUAGAAAUUAUUCAUUUAUUAUAGCCCUACUACCCAAUCAUUCCCCAAUAAGUGCAAAUGAACCUAGAAAGUAGGGUUUCACUUUUCGUUUUCAGUUGGAGCAAGUUAGGGUUUUCGCGAUUUUUCGAAGGAUGAUUUUUCGGUACGGAGCAAGGAUUUAAAUUUGGUGAUUGAAAGUGACUUUAAGGUGAGAAAUAAUAUGUGAUUAAGAACCAUGACAAAAAGUUAGUGAUUGGGAAGAAAAAACCCUAGUACGUGUGAUUUAAGGAAAAACGGUGCGAACCGACGUGUACCGCGCACUACCGAUUGAACGCACCACUGGACCACAACUUUCUUACCACAUGAGCUCAUUGAUAUUUGAGCAAAAUAUCCCCUCAUUUCCAGCUGCCUUUGACCAAAAUUUGUGGCCAAAAAUGCAAGGGAGAGAGAGAAAAAUUUGCAUGGCUUUGGUGGUGCCAAGUGUCACCACCUCAUGGCUCCUUGAUUAAUUUUUUUUCUUGCCUUUUUAUCCUUCGUUUCAGCCAUCUUUCUUCUUCAUUUUUUUCUGGUCUUGGCCGAGAGAGAGAGAGAGAAAAAACCCAAGAGAGAGUUCACCAUUUUUUCUUGAAAUCUAGUCACCAAGUGAGGAAACAAAGAAAGUAAACCGAUUAAAGUUAUCUUUGAGUGUUGGUUUAGUGAGGUGUUGGUGAAUUUUUGAAAGGGAAAGCUAGGGUUGCUCUUGGUAGACACUAAGCAAGGUAAGGAUGAUGAUUUUCCCAAUUCUUACUCUUAAUCUUGUUUAAAUUAGCUUAGCAUCUCAAAUUUGUGGUGAAUAAUGAUUGUUAUCAUGUCUUGGGUGUUGUUUUUCCUUGUGGAUACAUGAAUUAGGGUUUGAUGAAUUGCUGCCAAACUUGAUGUAUGGUUAAUAUAUAUUGUAUCCAAGAUUGUAUAGGGGGCUUUGGUAGCAAGUGAAGCAAGAAAUGAAGAAAGUUAUCAUUGAAACAAAAAAUUCCAGAUUUCUGGAAAAAAUUUCACCCUGUUCUGUCCGGUUCCAGUUCGUGUGGUUAGAGGCCGAAUUAGGCUUUUCAUAAAACAUGAAAGUUGUAUAGAAUAGUAUUUUAUAGUUGCCUACAAAAUUUUAGCUCAAUCGGAGCAAUGUAACCUGUGAAAAGACCAAAAUACCCUCGCUGCCCUAGAUUACAUUUCAGUGUUCCGCGUAGACAGUUCAGUCUUUUGGCUGUGUUUAUUCGCCAUAAUCCGUACGAAUUUAGCCAUUUUCCAAAACAUGAAAGUUUUAGUACUCUGUUUUAGCUUUAUAAUUCCACCAAGAACACCUUAAACGGAUCUUGGUAGACUGAGAUAUGGCCAUUUGAAUGCAGUACGGUUAAAUAGCCGAUUAGUUGGAAUUAGGUUAUGUGAAUUGGGAAUUUGAUUAGGUUACACUGGAAAUUGGACUAAGUGAUCUUCACGAACAUUGGAUCCCUGUGUCUUAGCUUCGAAAGGGUAUAAGUUUCACCUCAAUCCGAUAAGUGUAGCCUCGGAUGUGCCCAUUCCGCAAGAGCCCGUCAAAACUGUCUUUUGUAAACUUCAUUUCCGCACUCGAUAUUAGCUUAAUUUUUGUUCUUGUCUUGUUUUGAGCCUACGGAAUGGCUAUUGAAAUAAAAUUGUGUUAUGGAUAACCUUGGGUUUGAUUGAGUAAGGAUGAAGCCAUAAAUGGCUGGAAAAUAGGAAAAUACAAAGGGCAUGCUGCCCAAAUUUUUGCUCGAGGACUAAGUUUCUAUUUGAACUGGUAUACUUACGUUUGGUCUAUGAAACCCUAGUUAUUUUUGUCCACGGGUCCAAAUGUGCUCGUUUCACUUUAAAGUCUUUUUGUACGUUCUACUCAAUAAUUGUCGAGUUUCUUUGAUUGCACCUAAUUGUUGUGCUAGAUGAUCUGUACUAUUCUUUCUCGUUUAAUUUAGGUUUUCUCGGUGACUGAGGAUAAUAUCCGGAAGGAUAUUUUACCCGUUGUUUUGCGUACAUAGGUGAGUGUUCCUUGUUUGCUAUAUUUUUCUUGACUUCAUGACUUGUGUUCUUGUUUGAUAAUGUGUUAAGUGCUUUCAAGGAUUUUCAAAAUGAGUUUUCUAGGCUAGCGUGUACUUUACUGCGCUCGAGCUAAAUGAAACAUGAAAUUUUCAAUGAUUAAAUGUUGAAAUACUAGUUGCGCAUGAAUGUAAGCCUUUUUGGCUGAACUGGGCCCUUGCCCUUGUUGCCGAUCGACUCGAGCCAGAAGCGGACUCGGUCGGGCGAUUUGGUGACCUGGGUGAACGUUUGGUAUACUUGAGUAUUACCUUGUAGUCCGGCCACGUCCGGAUGGGUGGAGUCCGGCCAACGUCCGGAUGGGUGGAGUCCGGUCAACGUCCGGAAGGGGAUGAAUGAACGAACGAAAGCACGAGGGUUUUACUUCUCAAAAAGGAAAUUUUCAAAUAAUUGGAGGAAUAAGGGAAAAUGUCAGGGGAACGAACGAACGAACGAAUAGCUCCAUAUGAGCUCGUAUCCUUUUAAUGAAUGUGUUACUAUCGCUUUCCAUUGUAAAAAUUUCUUGAAUUAUUGAUACUCCAUGUUUAACGUAUUGAAUUGACUAUCUGACUAUGUGUUCGGAACCUCACUGAGCUUUUAGCUCACCCCUUUAGUUUUGUUUUCCUUAACAGGGGACGGCGAGCAGAAUGAGAGCAUAGACUAGCCUAGUCUAGUUCUUUUGUUAUUCUUUGUAAUGGUUCUCGCCCUAGUGCUUGGCACGGGCUGGACGUUUGAAGGAUUGAGAACCUUUGUAUAUUCGAUCUUUAUACUCCCUUUUGGGAUGACAAUAUAUAUACGUUUCGCUUUAAGUGUGGAUCGCUGCCCUAUUUAUUCUUGUGAUUUAUUCCGAUUUUAAUUGAGGAUUGUAGUGAACGACUGAGUCCCGGCGAGAGCUGGGCAGGCGAUCCGCCGAACCCUGGGGUACGCCCUAGGGGGAGGUGGGGUCGUCACAGUUGCUCCUGCAACGGUUCCUGCCCUCGGUCCCUAGAGGUUUACACUGGUCAGUAGAGCCAACCCGCUAAAAAAAAAAAAGAAAAAAAAUCUUGUGCCAAUGAUAUUUAUCCAAGACAGUGCAUGCAGCUCAAUCAAGCAUUUGGAUGCGAGAGGCAAUAUCUUGGACCAACCAAUCAAAUCCGUCAUGUAAUCCCUCUCCAGUGUAUGCACUACAUCCAACAAUUCUCCAGCGUCGACUUUUCUCCAUGGCUUCUAAAUUGGGUACCUAUUCUAGCAAAAAGGAGCCUGAUCUCAUGGCCUUCAACCUAUUUCAUCUGAAGAGAGAGAAAACAUUGUAUAUCCUGCAUGUUAGCAAAAAUCAACAUUGAUGCUCCUGACACCUCUGUCAUUUCACAUCAAGAAAGUAAAGUGGAGAGAGAGAGAGAGAGAUAUUGUUACAAAUGCAAAAAACUCAAAAACAACCUAAACAUUUUUUUUAAAAUAUGGAAAACUAAGGCUGUUUUAUGGACCAGUGACAUUAGACUCCAUUGUUCGCAUAGGAUUUUAAUGGGUAUACAUAGGGAAAGGGACAAACUUGACUUUCCCAUUUUUUGUUUGGUAACUAAGAAAUGAGAUAAUCAAAUUGAUAUGCCCAUGUACCAAAUGGAGAGAAACUAUUAAGAUUGUGAAACUAGGACUUGAAGGCUAUGAGGCCACCAUGGAAUGGCACUUUGUGUCUUCUACUUCAAUAUGAAUGUUUAGGUCUUAGGGACAGCCCCUAAUUUGUCAAGAUCCUGGCUUCAGCAUUAGGGAUUUAACACUCGAAUUUGGGAAAAAUCAGAGUACGGACGAAGAGAGAGAGAGCGAGAGAGAAAAGAAGUAGAAAGAGAGAGUAAGAAUUAGAGAGAAAAAGAAUGAAAUUCUGUUAUUGUUCGUGCAUGUGAAUUCUGCCAAUCGAUCCCAUACAAAUAAGAAUGGCUAAUCGACUUUAACUAAUUCCAACUGAAUCUGUUAUGCAUGGGAACGACACCGUUCCACUUAUUCUAAUUUCUACUGAUUUAUUUGGUCGUAAAACGACACCGUUCCACUUAUUCUGCUUCCUACUGAUUUGUUUGAUUAGUUACAUAAAACGACACCGAAUGCUGACUUAAUUUCUUCAUCCUGACAUUGCCCUCCCCUUUUAACAGUCUUGUCCUCAAGAAUGAAACCAAGGAAAUUGUGCUUGUAUGAAGUCCUUAUCUUCCCAUGAAGCUUCUUCCUUAUCCAGCUGGUACCAUUUGAUCAAGUAUUGUAUCACUGACUGUCCAUUCCGCAUGAUCACUCUCCUCUAUAAAAUGGAUUCUGGUUGUAGAGGACACUGGUCAUCAUUGUCAAUCUCAGGCAGGGUAGCUGAAAUGGGCUGUAGAGGUCUAAUUUUCUUUUUAAGCAACAAAACAUGGAAUACUGGAUGAAUCCUUACCCCAGUAGGUAAUGUGAGACGAUAGGCAACUGGCCCUACUUUGGCUUCGACCUGGAAGGGACCAUAGAACCUUGCAAACAGUUUGAGGCACUUCCUGAUAGCCACUGAUUGCUAUUUAUAAGGUUGCAGUUUCAGGAAGACCCAAUCACCAACCUCAAAAGUUCUUUCAGUGCGUUUUUGGUCAGCGAAAAACUUCAUCCUUUGUUGUGCCUUUAUUAGGUGAUCUUUGAUUCUGCUAGAGAUCCUCAAUCUCUCCUGGAGUAAUUGGGAAACUGCUGGUAUGAUUGUGUCAAAAUGAGGUCCUAAAGGCAAGGGAAUAGGCUGGUAUCCAUAUAAGGCUUCGAUUGGAGUCAUUUGUAGACUGGAGUGACAAGAGGAGUUAUACCACCACUCUGCCGGUGCUAGCCACCUGCUUUAGUUAUGGGGAAAUUCCCUAGUCAUGCAUCUUAGGCAAGCUUCGACACAUUGGUUGAGUCAUUCACUUUGUUCAUCUGAUUGGGAGUGGUAGGCAGAGCUGUAACUCAACUCUAUCCCUAAUAGCUUGAAGAGCUCCUGCCAGAAAGUACUUAUGAAUAUCCUGUCUCUGUCAGACACUAUGGAUUCUGGGAGGCCAUGCAAUCUGAAUAUGUGAUCCAGGAAAAGUUGAGCCACUUGCUUGGCAGUGAAUGGAUGACCUAAGGCAAGGAAAUGCCCUACCUUGGUGAAUCUGUCAAUUACCACCAUCACUGUAUCGUAGCCUUAUGAUUCUGGUAGACUCUCUAUGAAGUCCAUAGUCACAUGAGUCCAAACCAGGCAGGGAACAGGUAAUGGUUGUAAUAGGCCAGGGUAGUGUACAUGCUCAGAUUUGAACCUCUGACAUGUAUCACAGGCUUGAAUGAUUCUGAUGACAUCCUGCUUCAUAGUAGGCCAAUAGAAUAAAGUUUUUAGCCUUUGCCAGCAGCCUCUUUGUCCUGAGUGACCCCCAACUGCUGAUGCAUGGAGUGUUUGGAUGAGCUUAUCCCUCAAUCCACUGGUUGAGCCUACAUAAAGUUUGCCAUUGUACUUCAGUAAUCCUUUGUCCCACUCAAAUUGUUGGUGAGCCGCAGGGUCCAGCAGUAGUUGAGAAAUAAUGUCCUGGCACUGAGGGUCUAAGUCAUAGCUCUUCUGGAGUUCUUUAUCCAUAGUGGCUUGACAGUAGAAAGGGCCAAACAGGAUCCUUGUUGAGCUGAUUAUUCCUGAUUUACCCCAUGUAGUCUUGACAGUGCAUCUGCUACUUUGUUUUCUGCUCCCUUUUUGUACUGAAUUUCAUAGUCCAGCCCCAGUAAUUUAGCUAACCAUUUGUGUUGUAAUGUAGUGGUGAGUUUCUGAUCUAACAAGUACUUCAGAGAUUGGUGAUCUGUCUUAAUAACAAAAUGAUGUCCUACCAGUAAUGCCUCCACUUGGUCACUGCCAUUACUAGUGCUAGCAGUUCUUUCUCAUAAGCUGACAGCCUCAAAUUCCUAGGUGACAAGGCCUUGCUUAGGAAUGCAAUGGGGAUGGCCUUCUUGCAUUAGUACUGCACCAAUUCCACUUCCACUAGCAUCAGUUUCAAUAGUGAAGUGUUUCUGGAAGUUUGGCAGUUUAAGAACUGGAGCAGUGCUUAUAAUAUGUUUUAGUGAUGUAAAAGCCUUCUGUGCUUCAUUACUCCAAUAGAAAUUGUCCUUCUUAAGCAGCUCAGUAAGAGGUUUACAGAUGAUUCCAUAAUGCUUGAUAAACCUCCUGUAGUAACCAGUUAACCCCAGAAAAUCUCUCAACUCUUUAAUUGUACUAGGAACAGGCCAGUUCAUGAUGCUUUCAACCUUGGACUGAUCCAUGUACACUCCAUUCUCAGAUAUGGUAUGACCAAGAUAGUCCACAGUUUGUUGUGCAAAUGAGCAUUUAGAUCUCUUAGCAAAUAGUUUGUGUUCCCUUAAGACAACCAGCACUGUUCUCAAAUGAUCUAGGUGUGAUUCUAACGUGGGGCUGUAUAUUAAGAUGUCAUCAAAGAAAACCAACACGAACUUCCUUAAGUAAGGUUGAAAUACUUGAUUCAUAAGAGCCUGAAAGGUUGCUAGUGCGUUGGUCAGCCCAAAGGGCAUUACUAGAAAUUCAUAAUGGCCACAAUGAGUUUGGAAAACAGUUUUGUAAGUGUCCUUGGGUUUGACUCUGAUAUAAUAGUAGCCAGAAGUGAGAUCCAGUUUGGUUUUGUACCUUGAUCCUGCCAAUUCAUUGAUCAGCUCAUCUACAUUUGGAAUAGGAUAUCGAUCUUUGAUGGUCAUCUCAUUCAGAUGCCUGUAAUCCACACAAAAGCGCCAUGUACCUUCCUUCUUUUUAACCAACAGAACUGGUGAGGCAAAAGGACUGUUGCUGUGGAUGAUUAUUCCAUGCUGUAACAUGUCUGUAACCUACUUUUCUAUUUCACCCUUCUGAGAGUCAGGAUAUCUGUAUGGCUUCAUUUUAAAAGCCUGAGACCCCUGUUUUAAAGGAAUUUCAUGAUCUAUUUCCCUGGUAGGAAGCUCAGAAGGAGCCUCAAAAACAUCAGCAAAUUCCUCAAUGAUGCCUUGAACCUCAAUAGGCAUAUCCCUCUUCUCUGAUUGAUUAUCCUGUCCCAUCCUCAUAGCCAGGGACAUCUGCUUCUUAUAUUCAAUAAAGUUCCUCAAAUCACUCCCCCUAAUAAGAUCCAAGUCACAGUUCUCAGCUUGUCCCCUUAACUGUACCACUUCCACUUGAUUGUACAAGGAGAUUCUCAACUGGUGAAAAUCAAAAGUAAUGGGGCUAAAACGAGUCAUCCAGUCUACUCCCAAUAUGAUAUCCCAGUCACUGAGGUCUAUUACUUUCAAGUCAUAGCAGAAUUUAUGCUGAUUGAUCUCCCAUACCACUUUAGGACAUAUGGCUUUACUGGCUACACAAGCUCCAUUUCCUACUAUUACAGAAAAAGGAUCAACUAGUUGAUAUGGAACGUCAAAGGCAAUUACCUUUUCACUGCUGAUAUGGCUAUCUGAGCUCCCAGUGUCAACCAAUAUUAACAUCUCUUCCCCAUCCAGUUUCCCUAUCAGUGUUAUUGUUUUCCUCUGCAGAGCCUCUGGCAAGGUAUGUAGAGACAUUUCCAUGACUUGUCCAGGAUUGCCUGUAGCUCCAUCUUGUUCCCCUAAUGCAUCCUCAAACUCAGAAUCUUCUUCCUCCUCAGUGAUCAGAAGAUUCAAGUGGCCUAACUUACACUGGUGACCCUGUCCAAAUUUUUUUCCACAUUUGAAACAAAGUCCAUUGUUUCUCCUAUACUGUAAUUCUUGAGCUGAUAGUCUUUUAGGUUCUGCAUCUGCGGUAGAAAUUGGUUUCCCUUUGAAUGAGGUAUUCCUGAAGGUGCUAGUAGAAGGCACCUUAUAGUGGGAACUAUGGAUCUGUUGUUGGGAAGAACUCCUGGAGAUUCCAAACUUGUUUUCAGGUACAGUUUUCCAGCUUCUGACUUGAAGUUUCAGUGCAUCUUCUUGCAGUGUAGCCAUUUCAAAAGCUUCUGACAAGGUUGCAGGUUUCAACAUUCUUAUCAUUGUUUUGAUCUCGUCCUUAAGUCCACUGAUGAAGCUAGAUACAAAAUAUUCCUCACCUAGGUAGGGAUUCUUAAUCAUCAUAAAGGUUUUGAGUUCUUCAAACUUUUCCUGGUAUUCUUCCACCUGCCCUACUUGUUGCAGUUUAUUGAAUUCUUCCACCACAUCCCUGCCAAUCUUAUUAUCAAACCUUUUAUACAGCAGUUCUUCGAAGGUUCCCUAUGUUAGACCUAGUUUUUCUAAUUUUACUCCCUGGAACCAAUUGUCCACCCUCCCUUCUAAGUACAUUUCUAUGACUUCCAUCUUAUGAUCCUCCAAUGUCUUAAAUCUGGUGCUUUCUACCAUGGAAUUUGACUUCUUCCACGGAUCCGACCGGCUCUGAUACCA